GCCUGCAUGGCACAGUGGUUUUGAGCGUUGGACAAUGACUCUGGAGACCAGGGUUUGAUUCCCUGCUCAACCA
Non-coding RNA from Phrynosoma platyrhinos (Desert horned lizard), 73 nucleotides. Lineage: Eukaryota; Metazoa; Chordata; Lepidosauria; Squamata; Phrynosomatidae. The record is from the annotation of a GenBank genome assembly.